UACGUAGGGCGCAAGCGUUAUCCGGAAUUAUUGGGCGUAAAGAGCUCGUAGGCGGUUUGUCGCGUCUGCCGUGAAAAUCCGGGGCUCAACCCCGGACUUGCAGUGGAUACGGGCAGACUAGAGUGUGGUAGGGGAGACUGGAAUUCCUGGUGUAGCGGUGAAAUGCGCAGAUAUCAGGAGGAACACCGAUGGCGAAGGCAGGUCUCUGGGCCACUACUGACGCUGAGAAGCGAAAGCAUGGGGAGCGAACAGG
RNAcentral lists this ribosomal RNA (253 nucleotides) under uncultured bacterium. Its description in RNAcentral is "partial 16S ribosomal RNA". It matches the Rfam family "Bacterial small subunit ribosomal RNA", at positions 524 to 776 of the family's 1533-position model. The record is from RNAcentral.